UACGGAGGGUGCGAGCGUUAUCCGGAUUUAUUGGGUUUAAAGGGUGCGUAGGCGGUCUAUUAAGUCAGUGCUGAAAUAUCCCGGCUUAACCGGGAGGGUGGCAUUGAUACUGAUGGACUUGAGUGCAGUCGAGGUAGGCGGAAUUGACGGUGUAGCGGUGAAAUGCUUAGAUAUCGUCAAGAACACCGAUAGUGAAGACAGCUUACUAGACUGUAACUGACGCUGAGGCACGAAAGUGUGGGGAUCAAACAGG
RNAcentral lists this ribosomal RNA (253 nucleotides) under uncultured bacterium. RNAcentral's name for it is "partial 16S ribosomal RNA". It matches the Rfam family "Bacterial small subunit ribosomal RNA", at positions 524 to 776 of the family's 1533-position model. The record is from RNAcentral.